RNAcentral lists this long non-coding RNA (593 nucleotides) under Mus pahari (shrew mouse). RNAcentral describes it as "lncRNA (MGP_PahariEiJ_G0012086.1)". Lineage: Eukaryota; Metazoa; Chordata; Mammalia; Rodentia; Muridae. The record is from RNAcentral.
CUCAAGGGAGGACACUCACUAAUUCCAGGUCAGAAAGAGACCAGAACAACCCCAGAGUUCUGGGCAUGAGCAAAGAGCCAAGGACCAUCUCCAGACAUCAAAGAGCAUUAUAUCAUGGCUAAGAACAGAUGCUGGGGCCAGGGAGAUGGGCACAGGGAGAUGGCACUAAGCUUUCAGAGGAUUGGAGUUUGGUUCCCAUUCCCAUGUUGGCCAGAUCAUGACGGCCAGUGGCUACAGCUUCAGAGGACCUGGAACCUUCUUCUGGUGACCCUGCAUGCACCACCUUCAUAUGCACCUCCCCCUAAGACACACACGCCUUCCUAACUGUCUCUGGUGACAACAGGACAGGUACAUCACAGCUGUUUGUGUGCUAUGAUUUCCUGUGUGUGCACACAGGAAGAAGACCCUCUUUUCUUCUUUGCCCACAAACUGCUCUUCACUCCUGGGAUGACCUUGCUUCAGCUGGGAUCAGAAGCUCAAGAGCACACUGGAAGACAAAAUGGGUAGCAAGUGCAGGCAAGAAAGAGCGUCCAACCUCAGACACCACCGGGAAAAUGCAAAAUGUGACCAUGAGAUGCAACUUCUCAAACAUA